AAUAUUGGACAAUGGGCGCAAGCCUGAUCCAGCCAUGCCGCGUGAGUGAUGAAGGCCUUAGGGUUGUAAAUCUCUUUCACUGGUGAAGUUAAUGACGGUAGCCGGAGAAUAAGCCCCGGCUAACUUUGUUCCAGUAUCCGCGGUCAUACGAAGGGGGCUAGCGUUGUUCGGAAUUACUGGGCGUAAAGCGCACGUAGGCGGAUUGGUCAGUUAGGGGUGAAAUCCCAGGGCUCAACCCUGGAACUGCCUUUAAUACUGCCGGUCUUGAGUUCGAGAGAGGUGAGUGGAAUUCCGAGUGUAGAGGUGAAAUUCGUAGAUAUUCGGAGGAACACCAGUGGCGAAGGCGGCUCACUGGCUCGAUACUGACGCUCAGACACGAAAGCGUGGGGAGCAAACA
Molecule: ribosomal RNA, 397 nt
Filed under: uncultured bacterium
Lineage: Bacteria
Description: partial 16S ribosomal RNA
Rfam family: Bacterial small subunit ribosomal RNA
Source: RNAcentral